GAGGGUAUAGCUCAAAUAGUAGAGCUCAUGCUUAGCAUGCACGAGGUCCUGGGUUCAAUCCCCAGUACCUCA
Molecule: transfer RNA, 72 nt
Filed under: Camelus dromedarius (Arabian camel)
Lineage: Eukaryota; Metazoa; Chordata; Mammalia; Artiodactyla; Camelidae
Also listed under: 2 other names
Rfam family: tRNA
About the family: Transfer RNA (tRNA) molecules are approximately 80 nucleotides in length. Their secondary structure includes four short double-helical elements and three loops (D, anti-codon, and T loops).
Source: Rfam by way of RNAcentral